AGAGUUUGAUCCUGGCUCAGAACGAACGCUGGCGGCAGGCCUAACACAUGCAAGUCGAGCGAGCCCUUCGGGGUGAGCGGCGGACGGGUUAGUAACGCGUGGGAACGUACCCUUUGGUAGGGAAUAGCCACUGGAAACGGUGAGUAAUACCCUAUGAGCCCUUCGGGGGGAAAGAUUUAUCGCCAAAGGAUCGGCCCGCGUUAGAUUAGGUAGUUGGUGGGGUAAUGGCCUACCAAGCCUACGAUCUAUAGCUGGUUUUAGAGGAUGAUCAGCAACACUGGGACUGAGACACGGCCCAGACUCCUACGGGAGGCAGCAGUGGGGAAUCUUGGACAAUGGGGGCAACCCUGAUCCAGCCAUGCCGCGUGAGUGAAGAAGGCCUUAGGGUCGUAAAGCUCUUUCGCCUGUGAAGAUAAUGACGGUAGCAGGUAAAGAAACCCCGGCUAACUCCGUGCCAGCCGCCGC
Molecule: ribosomal RNA, 465 nt
Filed under: uncultured bacterium
Lineage: Bacteria
Description: bacterial SSU rRNA
Rfam family: Bacterial small subunit ribosomal RNA
Source: RNAcentral